MicroRNA precursor from Bos indicus x Bos taurus (hybrid cattle), 58 nucleotides. NCBI's taxonomy places the organism in Eukaryota, Metazoa, Chordata, Mammalia, Artiodactyla, Bovidae. The record is from Ensembl.
UCUGGGGCGCCCCGCACCGGCGGGCAGGACGGCGGCAGCGCCGGGGCGCCGUCUCGGA